Molecule: long non-coding RNA, 1040 nt
Organism: Lynx canadensis (Canada lynx)
Lineage: Eukaryota; Metazoa; Chordata; Mammalia; Carnivora; Felidae
Exons: 2
Source: RefSeq, a predicted model, not a curated record
AGGGGUCCCCGCUGGCGAGGAGAUGCAAGGCGGCACUUCGCAGCCGGGGAAGGCGCGGGCAGCUAUCCCGGGAGCCCUCCCCUCCUUCCUCCCCACUCUGUGUUUUCCCUUCUCCUCUUGGCCCUCAGCCCAGCACCUCACACCCUCAGUUUGCAAGCCCUGGUAAGAUUGCUUAAUUCUGUUUUGUUUUGUGGAUUUGUUUUGAGUUUAUUUUUGGUGGAAGUGUAGUUGUGUUUUAUGUUCAGGUAUCUCUUGAUCACAGUACCCCAUAGGAGUCCCCCCACCCCCGCCCAUGGGAGACAGCGGGGGAAGACUUUGGGAGGAUUUUUCCCAGAAUGCUUGCCGCCUGCUUUUUGUCCUCCAGGAAACCAGAAGCCCUGGUGAUUAGGACAAAGCCAAAGGCCCCUUGUUAGCUGGCCACCCUUGUCCCCCUUUUCCCCCUGGUUGUUUCCCCGUGGCCACAGGGAAGUGUGGUCCCCUGAAUUCCCUACCCAGGCUCCUCUGCUCCUCUGCGCCCAAAGACAGGGACCACCUCAGAAGUGUCAUCUCUCUCUGAGCACGCAUUCCCCUGCAGCAAGCGAGCAAGCGGGCGGGCAGCAAGGACUGAGCAAAUUGAGUGAUCCCAGGCCAGAGAGGCCUGGGAGGAAAGGUGUUCAGCCAGUCGGUUGUAAGGCGCUCGUCGGCACCUGCUGAAACGCUCCCACCUGACAGCCCCCUCCUCAAAGACUGUCUAAUUACACAUGGCAGGUUCUAGAGACUCAAGGGGGAGAGCUGCUUUCAAGGCCACCAUGCGUCUGUGCUCCCGGCCCAACCUUAUUUGCCUUGUGUUCAUUUUGUUCUUUUGUGACUGCAAAGACCAAUAAAGUAACAUGUUUGAGGACAAAAGGCUUGGGGUGCCCACCCGUGUGGGGGUGCUGCAAGAAGCCUUUGCUAGGGUGUCUGUUGUGCUGUGUGGUUUGUUUUGUUUGCUCCUUUAUUAUUUUGUUUUGCUUGCCCAGUCUUCCCUUACCCUUGGACCCUUCUUACCCUUCAGGGCAAAC